AGAGUUUGAUCAUGGCUCAGAACGAACGCUGGCGGCAGGCUUAACACAUGCAAGUCGAACGAUAUAGUGGCAGACGGGGGAGUAACGCGUGGAAACGUGCCUUUCACUACGGAAUAGCUCCGGGAAACUGGAAUUAAUACCGUAUACGCCCUCCGGGGGAAAGAUUUAUCGGUGAAAGAUCGGUCCGCGUUAGAUUAGAUAGUUGGUGGGGUAAUGGCCUACCAAGUCUACGAUCUAUAGCUGGUCUGAGAGGAUGAUCAGCCACACUGGGACUGAGACACGGCCCAGACUCCUACGGGAGGCAGCAGUGGGGAAUCUUGCACAAUGGGCGAAAGCCUGAUGCAGCCAUGCCGCGUGAAUGAUGAAGGCCUUAGGGUUGUAAAAUUCUUUCAUCAGGGACGAUAAUGACGGUACCUGAAGAAGAAGCCCCGGCUAACUUCGUGCCAGCAGCCGCGGUAAUACGAAGGGGGCUAGCGUUGUUCGGAAUUACUGGGCGUAAAGCGCACGUAGGCGGACUUUUAAGUCUGGGGUGAAAGCCCGGAGCUCAACUCCGGAACUGCCUUGGAUACUGGAAGUCUAGAGAUCAGGAGAGGUUAGUGGAAUACCGAGUGUAGAGGUGAAAUUCGUAGAUAUUCGGUGGAACACCAGUGGCGAAGGCGACUAACUGGACUGAUACUGACGCUGAGGUACGAAAGUGUGGGGAGCAAACAGGAUUAGAUACCCUGGUAGUCCACACCGUAAACGAUGAGAGCUAGUUGUCUGCAGGCAUGCCUGUAGGUGACGCAGCUAACGCAUUAAGCUCUCCGCCUGGGGAGUACGGCCGCAAGGUUAAAACUCAAAGAAAUUGACGGGGGCCCGCACAAGCGGUGGAGCAUGUGGUUUAAUUCGAAGCAACGCGAAGAACCUUACCUACGCUUGACAUGCCUGGACGUGACCAGAGAUGGGAUCAUUCCUUCGGGACCAGUGCACAGGUGCUGCAUGGCUGUCGUCAGCUCGUGUCGUGAGAUGUUGGGUUAAGUCCCGCAACGAGCGCAACCCUCACCCUUAGUUGCCAGCAGGUUAGGCUGGGCACUCUAAGGGAACUGCCGGUGAUAAGCCGGAGGAAGGUGGGGAUGACGUCAAGUCCUCAUGGCCCUUACAGGAUUGGCUACACACGUGCUACAAUGGUAGUGACAAUGGGUUAAUCCCAAAAAACUGCCUCAGUUCGGAUUGCAGUCUGCAACUCGACUGCAUGAAGUUGGAAUCGCUAGUAAUCGUGGAUCAGCAUGCCACGGUGAAUACGUUCCCGGGCCUUGUACACACCGCCCGUCACACCAUGGGAGUUGGUUCUACCCGAAGGUGGUGCGCCAACCGUAAGGAGGCAGCCAACCACGGUAGGUUCAGCGACUGGGGUGAAGUCGUAACAAGGUAGCC
RNAcentral lists this ribosomal RNA (1413 nucleotides) under uncultured prokaryote. RNAcentral describes it as "partial 16S ribosomal RNA". It matches the Rfam family "Bacterial small subunit ribosomal RNA". The record is from RNAcentral.